RNAcentral lists this ribosomal RNA (492 nucleotides) under uncultured bacterium. RNAcentral describes it as "partial 16S ribosomal RNA". It matches the Rfam family "Bacterial small subunit ribosomal RNA", at positions 29 to 507 of the family's 1533-position model. The record is from RNAcentral.
AGUGAACGCUGGCGGUAUGCCUAACACAUGCAAGUCGAACGGCAGCACAGUAAGAGCUUGCUCUUACGGGUGGCGAGUGGCGGACGGGUGAGGAAUACAUCGGAAUCUACUUUUUCGUGGGGGAUAACGUAGGGAAACUUACGCUAAUACCGCAUACGACCUACGGGUGAAAGCAGGAGAUCUUCGGACCUUUCGCGAUUGAAUGAGCCGAUGUCGGAUUAGCUAGUUGGCGAGGUAAAGGCCCACCAAGGCGACGAUCCGUAGCUGGUCUGAGAGGAUGAUCGGCCACACUGGAACUGAGACACGGUCCAGACUCCUACGGGAGGCAGCAGUGGGGAAUAUUGGACAAUGGGCGCAAGCCUGAUCCAGCCAUACCGCGUGGGUGAAGAAGGCCUUCGGGUUGUAAAGCCCUUUUGUUGGGAAAGAAAAGCAGCAGGUUAAUACCCCGCUGUUCUGACGGUACCCAAAGAAUAAGCACCGGCUAACUUCGUG